AGUGAACGCUGGCGGUAGGCCUAACACAUGCAAGUCGAACGGCAGCACAGUAAGAGCUUGCUCUUACGGGUGGCGAGUGGCGGACGGGUGAGGAAUACAUCGGAAUCUACUUUUUCGUGGGGGAAAACGUAGGGAAACUUACGCUAAUACCGCAUACGACCUACGGGUGAAAGCAGGGGAUCUUCGGACCUUGCGCGAUUGAAUGAGCCGAUGUCGGAUUAGCUAGUUGGCGGGGUAAAGGCCCACCAAGGCGACGAUCCGUAGCUGGUCUGAGAGGAUGAUCAGCCACACUGGAACUGAGACACGGUCCAGACUCCUACGGGAGGCAGCAGUGGGGAAUAUUGGACAAAGGGCGCAAGCCUGAUCCAGCCAUACCGCGUGGGUGAAGAAGGCCUUCGGGUUGUAAAGCCCUUUUGUUGGGAAAGAAAAGCAGCAGGUUAAUACCCCGCUGUUCUGACGGUACCCAAAGAAUAAGCACCGGCUAACUUCGUG
This 492-nucleotide ribosomal RNA is filed under the name uncultured bacterium. RNAcentral describes it as "partial 16S ribosomal RNA". It matches the Rfam family "Bacterial small subunit ribosomal RNA", at positions 29 to 507 of the family's 1533-position model. The record is from RNAcentral.